AUUGAACGCUGGCGGCAUGGUUAAAGCAUGCAAGUCGCAGGAGAACCAGACUUCGGUUUGGGGACACUGGCGGAAGGGCGAGUAAUGAUAUCGAACGUACCCCGAGGUGGAGGAUAGGUCAGGGAAACUUGGCGUAAUACUCCAUGAUCUCUACGGAGCAGAGCUUCGGCGCCUUGGGAGCGGCGAUAUUCCUAUCAGCUUGUUGGUGAGGUAAAGGCUCACCAAGGCUUAGACGGGUAGCGGGUGUGAGAGCAUGACCCGCCGCAUCGGGACUGAGACACUGCCCGG
Molecule: ribosomal RNA, 288 nt
Filed under: uncultured bacterium
Lineage: Bacteria
Description: partial 16S ribosomal RNA
Rfam family: Bacterial small subunit ribosomal RNA
Source: RNAcentral